ACCAGUGUGGCAUAGUGGUUUGAGUGUUGGACUAUGAUUCUGGAGACUAGGGUUCGAUUCCCAGCUCAACCA
This 72-nucleotide transfer RNA is filed under the name Phrynosoma platyrhinos (Desert horned lizard). RNAcentral's name for it is "tRNA-OTHER". The record is from RNAcentral. Lineage: Eukaryota; Metazoa; Chordata; Lepidosauria; Squamata; Phrynosomatidae.